RNAcentral lists this unclassified non-coding RNA (336 nucleotides) under uncultured Diversisporaceae. Its description in RNAcentral is "sequence contains 18S rRNA gene". Lineage: Eukaryota; Fungi; Glomeromycota; Glomeromycetes; Diversisporales. The record is from RNAcentral.
CCCAACUAUCCCUAUUAAUCAUUACGGUGAUCCUAGAAACCAACAAAAUAGAACCAAACCGUCCUAUUUUAUUAUUCCAUGCUAAUGUAUUCAGACGGAUGCCUGCUUUAAACACUCUAAUUUUUUCAAAGUAACAGUCCUGAUUUCCCCCCACACCAACUGAAUGACAUGGAGAUUCCUCAGAAGGUAGGAACUCGUCACACCAGUGCAGACAGUUAAGCCUGACCAAUGGGCAAAUCCCGAAGUUCAACUACGAGCUUUUUAACUGCAACAACUUUAAUAUACGCUAUUGGAGCUGGAAUUACCGCGGCUGCUGGCACCAGACUUGCCCUCCAA